Molecule: ribosomal RNA, 468 nt
Filed under: uncultured bacterium
Lineage: Bacteria
Description: partial 16S ribosomal RNA
Rfam family: Bacterial small subunit ribosomal RNA
Source: RNAcentral
GACGAACGCUGGCGGCGUGCUUAACACAUGCAAGUCGAACGGAAAGGCCCUGCUUUUGCGGGGUGCUCGAGUGGCGAACGGGUGAGUAACACGUGAGUAACCUGCCCUUGACUUUGGGAUAACUUCAGGAAACUGGGGCUAAUACCGGAUAGGAGCUCCUGCUGCAUGGUGGGGGUUGGAAAGUUUCGGCGGUUGGGGAUGGACUCGCGGCUUAUCAGCUUGUUGGUGGGGUAGUGGCUUACCAAGGCUUUGACGGGUAGCCGGCCUGAGAGGGUGACCGGCCACAUUGGGACUGAGAUACGGCCCAGACUCCUACGGGAGGCAGCAGUGGGGAAUAUUGCACAAUGGGCGGAAGCCUGAUGCAGCAACGCCGCGUGCGGGAUGACGGCCUUCGGGUUGUAAGCCGCUUUCGCCUGUGACGAAGCGUGAGUGACGGUAAUGGGUAAAGAAGCACCGGCUAACUACGUG